RNAcentral lists this small RNA (86 nucleotides) under Pseudopedinella elastica. RNAcentral describes it as "partial Betaproteobacteria transfer-messenger RNA". Lineage: Eukaryota; Dictyochophyceae; Pedinellales. The record is from RNAcentral.
UUGUUUUCGUAUGCCUUGUAGGUUUCCAGGUAGCGGGCAGAUUCCUCCCAGCUCCACGAAAGCAGUAAGGUGCAUUCAUUCACGAG